RNAcentral lists this long non-coding RNA (241 nucleotides) under Salvia miltiorrhiza (redroot sage). RNAcentral's name for it is "long non-coding RNA (SMIL_LNC002330)". The record is from RNAcentral. Lineage: Eukaryota; Viridiplantae; Streptophyta; Magnoliopsida; Lamiales; Lamiaceae.
GUUAAGGCAGCUAGAGCUUCAAUCGGAUUUUGGUUAAGUGGUUCUCUUAGUCGGGCUGGCGACUUAAAAACUAGCGCUGCAUGGGAGGCAACCCAUGUUUUCUUGCUUUUUCUUGUUUUCAUUUUUCUUUCGUUUUGUUUGGGUUUGUGUUUCUAUUUUUUCUGUUGUUGGGUGCAGGUUGGUGCGUUGGAGAUUGUUUGUUCUAUGGAUGAGAGAUAGGCAGACGCCGUGGGAAACUACG